UACGGAGGAUCCAAGCGUUAUCCGGAAUCAUUGGGUUUAAAGGGUCCGUAGGUGGAUAAUUAAGUCAGAGGUGAAAUCCUGCAGCUUAACUGUAGAAUUGCCUUUGAUACUGGUUAUCUUGAGUUACUAUGAAGUAGUUAGAAUAUGUAGUGUAGCGGUGAAAUGCUUAGAUAUUACAUGGAAUACCGAUUGCGAAGGCAGAUUACUAAUAGUUUACUGACACUGAUGGACGAAAGCGUGGGGAGCGAAC
RNAcentral lists this ribosomal RNA (250 nucleotides) under uncultured bacterium. Its description in RNAcentral is "partial 16S ribosomal RNA". It matches the Rfam family "Bacterial small subunit ribosomal RNA", at positions 524 to 773 of the family's 1533-position model. The record is from RNAcentral.